UUAAAGCCAACUUGAGGCUAAUAUGGGAUCAUUUCUUGUCAUGCGAGUAACCUUGGACAUAAACAGCUCUCCUUCUACUUCGUUCGUAUUUGCAUGCGUGUGCAUUAUGUACUUAUUGCUAUUGAAAGAUGUAAAUGCAAGAACGAGAUCACGUUCAUAUCGAAUGGAUAAAUGUUUUUGCUAAAAUGUAUAGACUUGUAUAAGUCGUUGCUUGAGUUCCUAAAUUCUCAUUCUGAUCCAGUUUUUACCUCAGUUUUUUCCCGUAUAAUAGUUGUAUUUGGUAUAAGUUUGGCACUUCAAGUGUAGAGUGUUUUAUAUUUUCCAUGUGUGGAAUGUAUAUUAACAGCUUGUAACUAUAGAGUUUGAUUUUAUUUCUAAGACCCGUCUUUCAAAAUUUAUCCAGUGACAUACUUGAAUCACUUGGGAUCCACUGGCAAAUGUAUAUUGAAGAACAAUUUUCUCCCUGCCUCUUAUGUAAUCGCGCCCACUAAUAAUAUGGUAAUUUGUUAGAAGGUCCUUGAUGUCUGGUUAAAAUUUAUUUAGAUUAGUAAACUCAUCCAAAACGGUCUCACUUUCAAUUUUUAUUUUGAAAGUGUAUUUUUAAAGAUUCAAUCGGCAUUCUGCAUGUCAGUGCUUUUUUUGUUUUUUUAACUUUUACUUUUAAACUAUUGGUUAGAAGGCAAACAAUUCACAUUAAAGUGGAGCCUCCUUGGGACUAAAGGUAAUGCCUUUCCCAAAGCAAGAAAAGAAAACCCCCCAUGUCCAAUUAGCAUUGAUUGAGUUUAUUAAUUUGACUUGGGGCUUGUUUCGAUCUUCUUCUUCUCCUUCUUCCACUUCCUCUUCUUCAAAGUUCAAUUAUUGCAUCCUCUAAAAUGACAUGCAUUACGUAAUCUGACGUUUUUGUUUCUUAAGCAUUCACCACGCAAAAAGUUGUCUUGCUAGCUGCCAAAAACCAAAUUAACAUUGCUUCCAUUAUCCGAUUACAGUGAGUCACGUUGUCCCAGUGUGGUGUCAUUAAUCUGCUUAAUUUUAUGUAGUUUAUGUAUUAUUCACGAAGCAUAUAAAUUAAAAUUUAUAAUAAAAUUACAUUUUAUGUACAAUUAUUGUUUAAUACAUAAAACAUUACAUAUCAAAUUAUUAAAAAAAAAAAAAAGAGUUAAAAGCUCGUUUAAUUAAAUUAUUAUCCGUUUAGUAUCUGUAUGGAUUGUUAAUAUGUUCUACUUUCGUUCUUGAUUUAUGUCUGGUGUUAAUUUAUCUAUUGGGAGGAAUGUACAUUUUCAUUUUAUAUUCCUGAAGACAACUUUGAGUUGUAAGUAAGCAGUCCCUGCAAAUGAAUUCUAUGAUCAAACUAAAAGUCAGGAUGACGAAAUGAACUGCAUUAGAAACCUGAUAAAUUCUGUAACGUAUGUUAAAAAAAAAGGAAAGGCAUGUUCACACGUGAGAGAGAGAGAGAGAGAGGGGAAGCUCUCAAAUCGACCCGCAAAACCGGACCCAACCCCGCAAACCCGACCCGCCCACUGUUUCCGUUUCCGACCACCCCACCGGCCAAGGGAGGUAUCGAUCGAAAUACCUUGAGCCGCUGGUUAUUUUUCCCUCGUCAUUUCCAUCGGAAAAACAGCCAAAAAGCCACCGAUCGAGGCCGUUAAGAACCGCGGAAUCGCCGCCUCUGUUCGCCACGAUUUGGCUGGUUUCCGGCCACGCCAACGGCUGGUUUUUACUCCUCACACCACCACCUUUCAUUUCCGACUAUCCACAUUCACCGGCAGCCACCGAUUUGCUGCCGGCCAAUUGUUGAGGUGCUCACGGCUGUCGAGCUAGAUUCCGACGCCGUCGCCGCGUGUCAGAGCACAUCGACGCAACCGCUGGAUUCAGCAAGGCACGAACCUUCUAUCCCGACCUUUCCGGUCACCGUCGCAUGAAUUCCGGUCACCGUUGAAUUUGAGGGUAAUUUCAUAAAUUUUUAAUUUUGUGAGUAUUUCAAUAAUUUCUAAUUUGGAGGAUAAAAUUUGAGGAUAAUUUGAUAAAUUAUGAUUUCGAGGAUAAUUUGGUAACUUGUGAUUUGGAGAUUUCAGGGGCAAUUGAGAUUAUGUUUAGGUGUUUAUAAUGAGAAAUUUGAGGACAUUGAAAUUAUGAUUAUGACUUGAUUUUAUCUUAUGAGGAUUUUCUUAUUUGUUUUAGGUCGAUGAUAUAUAUUUGCAUUUGUUACUUGAGGAUGUCAUAAGGUAAGUAAAUUAGAUUUUUAAAUGAAUUAUGAUAAAUAAUAUGUAUAUGUUUGACAUAUUUAAAAAGUCUAUUUUGAUAUGUACGGAUAUAGAUUUGUAUGUUUGUCCAUGUGUUUAUGUGAUGUGUUAAUAUGGUGUGUUGUUAUGUGUUAUGUGUGUUUAUGGACAUGGGCAUUUGUAUGUGUGAAUGUCUAUUAACAUUAGCACGAAAAUGCAUUAUGUUUCCUAUGAAUGAGAAAGUGGAUUUUUGCCAAACGAAAUUUGAAGAAAAAAAGUGAGUUUUACAAUUUUUAGCUUGGAUGCUUGAAUUCGUUACUCGCUUUGUAACAUCCUAGUCCAAAUUUCGAGGGUAAAUUUGUCCAUAACUCACAUAUGAAUUUAAAAAAAAAAAACUCUUUACAACUGAUAUCUCCUUACAAUCGAUAAUAAGUCAAACUUCAAAUAUAAGAGGCAACGAAAUUAUUUAAAAAUUUGACCAAACCAUCUAUCAUUCUCAAUUCAAGUCCUCUUCGCACAUAAAUCAAUUCUAAUUUUUAAAAAUUGAAUCACAAUAAACUAUAAUUAGUAGAAAACUCAAUAAGCAAAUUAAUUUUUCCUAUACGAAAAUACAUACAUACUUAUAUAUAAUGCAAUAGAUGAUAUGUCAUGAUAUUUUCAAAAGUACUUGAAACAAAUUCAUAAAAGUCUAUUUUUGUCGCUUUUAAACUUUUUCAUUUUCUUUCAAUAAAAUAUAUAUUUUGUAAUUGUGGCACUUUGCCCUGUGCGUGGCACUUUGCGGCUCUCUAGCCCUCAAGACAUGACCCAUGUAUAGUCUCAAGAGGUGGCCCUCAAUACAAAAUCUCAUAAAGCAGAAAUUUCGUUUGCUAAAAUCCAUUUUCUCACUCAUAGAAAACUUAAUGCAUUUUCGUGCUUAUGCCAAUGAAAUUUCACACAUACAUAUGCACAUGUACGUAAUCACGCUCAACACAUAAUAACACAUCACAUAAACACAUGGGCAGAGAUAUAUAAAUUCACAUUAGUACGUAUCAAAUAUAGGUUUUUCACACAAAUCAAACAUAUAUAUUGUUUAUUGUGAUUCGUUUUGAAGUCUAGUUUACUUAUCUCUUGACAUCAUCAUGUAACAAAUGCGUACUGAUAUCAUCACCCUAAAAUCAUCAACAAAAUUCUCAUAAGAUAUAAUCAAGUCUCAAUUAUAAACUCUAAUAUCCUCAACUAUCUCAAUUUAAACAUCUCAUAAGCUCAACCUCAAAUGUCCUCAAUAAUCGGCCCUCAAAACAUAACAUGCCAUAUUCUCCGAUUUUUAAUAAAUUAUUUUUUUUUAAAUAAAAAUCUCAAAUUUUAUAGACCAUAAGUUGACAUAUUGAAAGUUCAUUGCUAAAAAUUUCAUAGUUUAAUUUCUUAAAAAAUUAUUGAAAAUAAUUGACGUUCCAGACAUCAUCAAUGUUGUCAAAUAAUUUUCUGUUUUGAACACACUUGCUUUAAAACUAAAAAAUAAUUUUUUUCUUUAUCAUAAAAUCGUGAAAAUUUAUAGAAUCAUACUAGACAUAUAUAAAAAUCAUUGAUCCAAAUUUCAUAAUUUUUGAAAAAGUAUAGCUAUGGUAAAAAUAAUUUUGUAAUUCACGUUAUUCACUGAAAUAAAAAAUUUUCAGGUUUUCAGACUUGAAUUUGAAAAAUCGUAAUUAAUUGAAAUCUUAUCCGAUUAACUUGAAACAAGUUUCAAAACAUUCUAAACGAUGUCUAGUUUAACAUAUCCAAAAAUCAAAAUCAAAAUCAAAAUCAAUUUUUACAAAUUACUAUGAUUUUCAUAAUAAUUCACUGUCAGCAUAUUUCUGCCAAAUCUUAGGUUUCUACUUCUAGUGCAAUCAUGAUUCUCCACAACAAAUUAAUAAAAACCAUAAAUUAAAACUUACCUCCAAAUCCAAAUCUUCUCUCAACAAUACCCAAUUCAAAUUAUGCAAUUUGAUCUCAUGUAUUGCUCAUGGCAGAAUAAAGAAUAAGACUUUCUUCUUCUCUUUUUAUUUUUUUUUCUCUCUUUUCUCUCCAUCUUUUUUUUUCCCUAUCUGUCGUUUUUUUUUUCUUAGCCAAUUUCGCUUUCUCUCUCUCUCCUAAUGGAAAGACAUCUUGUUCUAUUUAUACUAGGGUAGAAAUGAUCACUAAAAACUAAAAAGACUUAAAUACCCUUAAGAGAAUUGGGAUAUUACAUGCUUAGUGGAGGACACUCUGUAUGUUAUGUUGUGUGGGCGAGGGACGUGUUUACGUGGAUUUAUGAAAGUUAAGUGAGCAUCGUACUAAGCGGUAAUUGAAUUAAUGUAGCUCAAGUGAUCUGAAAGAAAAUGCGAAAGUUUGAAAAUGACAAAAUAAGAUUUUGAUGAUUCGUUUUACAAUAUUUUUGAAUACCGUGGCACGUCGUCCAUUUGCAUUAUAUAUAUGUAUGUAUGUAUUUUGAUAUAUGAAAAAUUGAUUUGUUUACUGAGUUUUGUACUUAUUAUAGUUUAUUAUGAUUCAGUUUUCAGAAAUCAGGUUUGAUUUAUGAUGAGUGACGAGAAAGACCUGAAUUGAGGAAGUAUGUGGUUUGGCAUAAUUAUCCUUAGGUUCUUCCACUGCAGUUUAAGGUUGCGUUUUGAGGCUUAAAUUGUCGUUAAUAAUUAUAUUCGACGAGCGAGUUCUUAUUGAUUUUAUAGAGAUUUUAAAGUAUAUAUUUGAAUUGCAGUUAGAUUCACCCUGUGGAGUUCGGGCGGGUCGUUUCAAAUUCAGCCAUUCCGGAUCCGGAGGUAAAGGGUGGGUUAAGACGGCCCAUGGGGAAGUCAUAUUCUGGGCAAAGAUACAGAGUUAUUGGGGUUUUGGCACACUGAAUUUAAAUCAUAUAAAAGCCCAUCACUAAAGCUCAAGGUAAGAAAUGCUGAUCGAUUUGAUUUCAAGACUGCAACUGGGGAAGCUACAAUUGAGAUUAAUCUGAAGUUGCGAAGAAUAGUUUCGGAGAUUCAGGUAUUUGCUGCUUUUUGCUUCAACUUUUAUCACUUAACCUGCUAUCCUUGUAUAUGAUUACAUAGUGCUUGAAAUUCUCUCUGUUCCAUCAUAAUGUUAAUGCAUCUUUGAUCUUCACACUUUACUGUAAUUUUAAUGAGUCCCGAUCCAGUCACAGGUGGUGGGUGUUCAUUGGCGGAGCUGCGGGCCCCACAACACAGCGCCACCAAUGACAAAUCGCCAUGGGCGCGCACAUGAUCGAAAUGCUAAUUGAACAUAUUAUCUGCAAGAACCCUGUUUAGUGUUCUAUUAGCUUUGUUUCGUCUGUCAUUAACAUGCGCUUAUUACUUUUUAUUUCAAUUGUCAGGAUGGGAAGAUUGAUACUGAUUCCGUCUACAGUGGGUUUAAAGACAACCUGGGGUUAAUAUGGGAUCAUUUCUUGUCAUGCGAGCAGCUUUUGACAUGAACAACAGAUUGCAAGCUCUCCCCUACUCUGGGUUGAUGUUUGCAUUUGGGUGCAUCCUGUACUUGCUGCUGUGGAAAGAUGUAAAUAGGAUGAUGUCUGUGUCAAAUGGUUUUUUGCUAAUUAUGUGUGCACUUUUAUUAAAUCUUUGCUGGAGUAGUUCUCAUUCUGAACUUCAAAUUUUGUCCAGUUUCGGCCUCAUUUUUUUUCUCGUGUUUUACCUUUUCAUGUGUGAAUAAAUAUCAACAACUAGUACAAAUUUGUAAGACUAAGACCUGUCUUUCAAAAUUAAUGACAUUGCUUGAAUCACUUGGGAUCCACUUGCAGAUCUAUUUUGAAGAAAAGUUUUCUCCCCAACCUUAAUCGGUAAUGCAUUAUGAUUCUCUCCUUAUUUUUUUUUCUUUUUUCUUUUAGUCUCAUUUUAUUUUUUAAAUUUAGAUUAAAAAAAUCAAUUUAAUAACAAAUAAAAUAAAAGAAACUGGUUUAAUUGUUAAUAUCAGAAUUUAAAAUUUAAUUUUGAUUUUUUUUUUUAAUGAUGGUGAUCGUUUAGUCCAUAAGGAGCGAUCAAGAGUAACAAAAAAAGAUUAUUGUCUGUCAGUAAUAUGGUAAUUUAUAGAAAGGUCCCUGAUGAUGUCCGGUUAAAAUUUAAUUAAAUUAGUAAAUUAGAGAAUUAGUUAAUUUUUUCACAUAUUACAUUAAAGUGGAGUCUCGCUGCGAGCAAAAGAGAUGCCUUUUACAAAGCAAGAAAAGAAAACACAAAAAGCACACUUCAAAACUUGUGCAAGAAGGAGAUAUGUAUAUUGAUACAUGUAUAUAUACCCACGUCUGAGGAUCAGCUGAACCAACACCCAACACUAGGAAGCAAUUUUAAAAUUUUUGGUUAGUAUUGUUAUUUACAUCUUAUCAAUUUUUGUUCAAUUUAUUAUAUUUUUACUACAGCUUUGUUUCAGGGUACUUGUCAUGUGAAUUUCUCUGAUGAUUUUGGUGGGUUCUUUUCAGCUUUUAUUUCACUGUCUCCACUGGUUAGCUUAGCUACUGUCUACUGAGAUAAAAUCAUUUGCUAGAAUAACUUAAUCUUUUGCUAUUUUGUUAUAUUCAUUUUAUACAGAAUUAAAUCAUUGUAUCAAAUGUUUGUUUUAGCUCUGAUCUUGCGUUACUGAAACGUUUCAUUCAUUUUUCCCAAGCACUUUGGUUGCUAGUUUAUCGGGCAGUACUGCGAUAGUGAUUUCAAUUUACAAAAUUCUGUAAAUACUUAUUAUUCUUAGUGUCGUUUAAGGUAGUGUGAAGUUAAUAUUAUCACAAUGGCUUACAUUCCACCAAAUUUGAGGCGUUCGAAGGACCCCCAGAGGCCCUCUCCAGUUCCGGAGAUGCUUGAGCCUAUAUUCAACAGAAAAUUAAAAUUGGGAUCAUCCAAGCAUGACGCAGGCGCGAGUACAAAUUGCAUCGAGUAUGGAGACCAUGCCGUACACAGAUCGUUUGUCUGUGGCUUGGAUAAUAAUAAAAGCAUUUCUUCUGACCAUUUCGAGGAGGUUCCAGAGGAGCCUGAUGAGCAAAAAAGAUCAGUGACCAUUAAUCUGGCCACAGGUUAGUGGUCGGCAUUUUUAGUUUUAUUUUAGAUAUGUUCUACUUUCGUUCUUGAUUUAUGUCGGGUGUUAACUUUAGUUAUGUUGACAUUUUUGGUUGGUAGAUAAUGAUAAAGCGUGUGCAAAUACAUCAAGAAGCCCCUGGGAAUCGAUAGCAGCAAAUGUAUGGCCAGAUGUAUUGAGUGCUUGUAACAUUGUCAAGAACGAAAUGGAGGAAAAGCCAAAAAUGGUUGCUAGAUUUGGCAAUAUUCUUUUCGAUGAGUAUGUGAUCUGGUUCCAUUGGUGUUCCAGCUUGAAUGUUUUUAGUUUGAUCAUUCCAUUCCUUUCUUUUGGCUUUGAAAUUGUAGCAACGAAUAUGCAUAUUCACACUGAAAUCUGACAGAAAUUUUGCGGUCAUAUAAGUACCGGCAGCUAAAAUUACGAAGUUUACCAUUAACGCUAGUGCCAUCAACGGAUGACAGUAAAUCGGAUCUCCAAACCAGGGAUACAAGUUAACAUUGCUUGUAAAAGCUAAAGAAGAAAAGAUUUAUUAAAAAAAUAAUAAUAAUAAAUAAAGGGAAAAGAAAUGACAAGAUCAAUGAUUUAUAGUGCAUGCACUUCUUGAGACUUGUUGUAUCUCAAGGAAGCUUCCAUGGCAUCUAGAAUUUGGCUUUGGCUUCUUGUAGGCACAUUUCAGUAGUUGCUGCUGGAAACAAAUGUAUCCAUUGUCUUAGUACUGCUACAUUUCUGGUGCGAGAAACAAAUCAAUCUGUUGCCAUGGCCAGGUUUUAUUGUUUGAUGUUUCAUUGGGACAGCAAACUAAACCAUUGCUUGGCCUAUUUCUUAGAAUAAAAAUGAUACUAUGUGUAUCACAUAUUUCCAUUCUUCUAUCACGUCUUUGAAACUGCUAUUAGUUUUCUUAUCAAGGUGCCUCAAAGAAAUAAUUAUUAUAUAAUUCAUCUUGACGCAGGAACGAUUUACUGAGCUUAGAAAGUGCAAGCGAACAUCAAGUUGCUGAAACCGCUUUUAAGGCAAUGAGGACCUGCUUUGACACAGGUGUCCCUGCUACAUACAUGGAAAACAUUGUACAUAAAGUUGUGCCAAAAAUUGGGGUUGAUUUUGUACAGGACAAGGAUAUAUACCAUGUACAGGUAGUUCUUCUGCUAAACACUUAUAUAUUCACGAUCAAGUUUCUUUUAUCUCUCACUUAAUUUGGCCAUUAAUUGUUUUCCCCUUCUUGUCUAGUUGUGUGACGGCACACGACAAAUUUUGUGCAAAUGUACUGUUAAAGAAGAUAAAAAGCUUGAGCUCUAUAAGGCAAGUUUUAUGCAUUUGGCUAACUGUUAUUUAAAUCUUGUGUGUGUUGCCUGUAUUUUAAGGAGACUUUUUGCUUGUUCAAACAUCGCAACAAGACUUCUGAUGUAUUGAAUUGAAUAGAUGAGGGUCUGAAUAUAAUCUUUUCACUGUGAUUAUAAAGGAGGUACCAAAAUAAAAGCGAUAAACAUUAAGAAUGAGAUGAAACCUUUAUGCCUCACUAAGACUUUUUAGAAGUCUCUGCAGGAAUAAUCUCAAUUUUGAGGAAAAGAGUUUAAAAUGAAGAAGAAAAUUCUCAAUGAGUAAGACUAAUUCUACUUCUGAUUGAGGAAGAGGCUUGUUAAUUCGAUAAGGAAAGAUCUAGUUAGUAUUAUGAACCAAUUAAAAUUUGAAUUACGUUAGUUUACCUGUAAUUGAAUGUCUAAACCAACAAACUAUGUAUUACAUUACAGUUGCGAAUAUAAAAUUAUAAAAAUACUGCUGAUUAUGGACCAAAUUGAAUAUGCCAAUCUUUAGGAACUCCUUUCAGCAUCAUGGAUUUAGAUUUCAGUAAUCUUUUUUAUUUGACUAUGGUGACAUCCCGAAGACCUGAACUAUCCAGUAUCUGAUGGUAGUCAUUUUUUAUUUAUUUAUUGUUGCAUUCUCGUCUUGAAUAUGAACAUUUUUCUUGUAGGUCCAACUAAACCAAGUUCGUCACAUGGUAGCUGAUAUAUUCUGUUUUGAUGAAAAUCUAGAUUUGAGGUUGGCACUAUAUACAAGAAGUACCUUAUUUGCUCUCCCUGUGAGUUCAUCUGCUACUUUGCGCUUGUUUUACCUAGACUUUUAAGUUACCCCUUCAUUUUUUACUCUUUUUGUUUUAUUUGGUUAUUGCUCAUUAGAAUCCUCAUCGAUACAGAUGGUGGGGAAUAAAAAUUCAAGACCAGGGUAAAUGAGGAAAUCUAAAACUUAUAGCUGUGUUUUCAUCAUCAAAAGUUUACUUUCGAAGGGUUGAGAAAAACAAAUAUAUGACGAGCUUAAACGGUCAAACUUUAGUCAUGCAUUGCCCUUUCCUUGAAAUCAGAAACCUUACAAAUGUUAAAAAUAAAAUAAUAAAUAAAUCAUUAGAUUUUCAAAAUUAGUUGCCAUCAAUUAGAAUUAAAACAAAAGUUAAAUAUAAGGUUUUUCUUGUUGUUGGGGUGCGUAUGUGUGUUCUCGAUCUGUUGUGAGGAAUGUACAUUUUUAUUUUAUAUUGCUGGAAACAAUCUUGAGUUAUAAGCCAAAAAUGUGUAUUUACCAUAUCUUAUAUUUUCUAUGUAGGCCUAGCAAAUGAAUUCCAUGAUGAAACUGAAAUUGUAAAAUUUGCAGGAUGAUGACAUGAGCAGCAUUAGAAUUCUGAUUAAUUCAGCCAUCCCGGAUCCGAAGGUAAAGGGUGGUUUAAGAUGGCCCGUGGGCAAGUCAUAUUCCGGGAAUUACACAGUUGUUGGGGUUUGGCACAAUGAAUUUAAGUCAUAUAAAAGCCCAUCACUAAAGCUCAAGGUAAGAAAUGUUGAUCGAUUUCUUUUCAAGGCUGGAACUGGGGUAGCUACAAUCGAGAUUAAUCUAAAGUUCAGAAGAAUAAUUUCGGACAUUCAGGUAUUUGCUGCUUUUUGUUUUAACUUUAUCACGUGACCUGCUAUCUUUGUGUAUGAAUAUAUAGAGCUUGAAAUUCUUGCUGUUACAUCAUAAGGUUAAUGCAUAUAUCUUCACACAUUUCUUAUUGAGGUUUUAUUUUGAGCUAUAAUUAUAAUUUUCAAUUUUUACUAUUUAAUGGGUAUUUUCUUGUAGAUUGCUGUACCCAAAAAAAAAAAAAAAUUUGAUCAAGAGUAUUUUUAACGGUGAAAUAGCAAGAUUCUAAUGUAUAAUCUUCAUGAACUCGUUUUAGUUGUUAUACAGUUGUCCCUCUCUGUUAGUUUAUUUAUUCUGUCGUAACUCGCAAGUAACAAAUGACUUUUUAGCUAUUGCCUAAACUGGAGUAAAUGUGAUUUCAAAACUGAGCUUCCAGCUUAUGACUUAGAAGUCUUAUGUGUGUGUCUUGCACUUUGGUUUUACAAUCACCAUUGGAAGAGGAGCUAGAGUUUGUUAAUUGCUUCAGUCCCAGGAUUAGUGUUUUGAAACAUAAAUAUGUUUCAUGAUUGUUAUUGCUCACUAUUUCCUAUGGCUUUGUCCCCAUGAUCAUACAAAAUUAGUUUUGUAUUUGGUAUCUUUCAUGUUUCAUUAACAUGUUCUUAUUACUUUUCUCUUUUAAUCGUCAGGACGGGGAGAUUGAUCCCGAUUCCAUCUACAAUGGGUUUAAAGACAAGUUGAGGUUAAUAUGGGACCAUUUCUUGUCAUGGGAAGAUUGAUACUGAUUCCAUCUACAGUGGGUUUUAAAGCCAACUUGAGGCUAAUAUGGGAUCAUUUCUUGUCAUGCGAGUAACCUUGGACAUAAACAGCUCUCCUUCUACUUCGUUCGUAUUUGCAUGCGUGUGCAUUAUGUACUUAUUGCUAUUGAAAGAUGUAAAUGCAAGAACGAGAUCACGUUCAUAUCGAAUGGAUAAAUGUUUUUGCUAAAAUGUAUAGACUUGUAUAAGUCGUUGCUUGAGUUCCUAAAUUCUCAUUCUGACCCAGUUUUUACCUCAGUUUUUUCCCGUAUAAUAG
This 11180-nucleotide long non-coding RNA is filed under the name Citrus maxima (pomelo). RNAcentral's name for it is "long non-coding RNA (CMAX_LNC002519)". Lineage: Eukaryota; Viridiplantae; Streptophyta; Magnoliopsida; Sapindales; Rutaceae. The record is from RNAcentral.